RNAcentral lists this ribosomal RNA (1627 nucleotides) under Salmonella enterica. RNAcentral describes it as "partial 23S ribosomal RNA". It matches the Rfam family "Bacterial large subunit ribosomal RNA", at positions 530 to 2141 of the family's 2925-position model. The record is from RNAcentral. Lineage: Bacteria; Pseudomonadati; Pseudomonadota; Gammaproteobacteria; Enterobacterales; Enterobacteriaceae.
CGAGGGGAGUGAAAAAGAACCUGAAACCGUGUACGUACAAGCAGUGGGAGCACCCUUUGGGGUGUGACUGCGUACCUUUUGUAUAAUGGGUCAGCGACUUAUAUUCUGUAGCAAGGUUAACCGAAUAGGGGAGCCGGAGGGAAACCGAGUCUUAAUUGGGCGUUAAGUUGCAGGGUAUAGACCCGAAACCCGGUGAUCUAGCCAUGGGCAGGUUGAAGGUUGGGUAACACUAACUGGAGGACCGAACCGACUAAUGUUGAAAAAUUAGCGGAUGACCUGUGGCUGGGGGUGAAAGGCCAAUCAAACCGGGAGAUAGCUGGUUCUCCCCGAAAGCUAUUUAGGUAGCGCCUCGUGAAUUCAUCUCCGGGGGUAGAGCACUGUUUCGGCUAGGGGGCCAUCCCGGCUUACCAACCCGAUGCAAACUGCGAAUACCGGAGAAUGUUAUCACGGGAGACACACGGCGGGUGCUAACGUCCGUCGUGAAGAGGGAAACAACCCAGACCGCCAGCUAAGGUCCCAAAGUCAUAGUUAAGUGGGAAACGAUGUGGGAAGGCCCAGACAGCCAGGAUGUUGGCUUAGAAGCAGCCAUCAUUUAAAGAAAGCGUAAUAGCUCACUGGUCGAGUCGGCCUGCGCGGAAGAUGUAACGGGGCUAAACUAUGCACCGAAGCUGCGGCAGCGACACUAUGUGUUGUUGGGUAGGGGAGCGUUCUGUAAGCCUGUGAAGGUGUGUCGUGAGGCAUGCUGGAGGUAUCAGAAGUGCGAAUGCUGACAUAAGUAACGAUAAAGCGGGUGAAAAGCCCGCUCGCCGGAAGACCAAGGGUUCCUGUCCAACGUUAAUCGGGGCAGGGUGAGUCGACCCCUAAGGCGAGGCCGAAAGGCGUAGUCGAUGGGAAACGGGUUAAUAUUCCCGUACUUGGUGUUACUGCGAAGGGGGGACGGAGAAGGCUAUGUUGGCCGGGCGACGGUUGUCCCGGUUUAAGCGUGUAGGUGUGUGUUCCAGGUAAAUCCGGUUCACUUUAACACUGAGGCGUGAUGACGAGGCACUACGGUGCUGAAGCAACAAAUGCCCUGCUUCCAGGAAAAGCCUCUAAGCAUCAGGUAACAUCAAAUCGUACCCCAAACCGACACAGGUGGUCAGGUAGAGAAUACCAAGGCGCUUGAGAGAACUCGGGUGAAGGAACUAGGCAAAAUGGUGCCGUAACUUCGGGAGAAGGCACGCUGACACGUAGGUGAAGUGAUUUACUCAUGGAGCUGAAGUCAGUCGAAGAUACCAGCUGGCUGCAACUGUUUAUUAAAAACACAGCACUGUGCAAACACGAAAGUGGACGUAUACGGUGUGACGCCUGCCCGGUGCCGGAAGGUUAAUUGAUGGGGUCAGCGCAAGCGAAGCUCCUGAUCGAAGCCCCGGUAAACGGCGGCCGUAACUAUAACGGUCCUAAGGUAGCGAAAUUCCUUGUCGGGUAAGUUCCGACCUGCACGAAUGGCGUAAUGAUGGCCAGGCUGUCUCCACCCGAGACUCAGUGAAAUUGAACUCGCUGUGAAGAUGCAGUGUACCCGCGGCAAGACGGAAAGACCCCGUGAACCUUUACUAUAGCUUGACACUGAACAUUGAGCCUUGAUGUGUAG